GUCUUUUUGAAUUAAAUUUAAAGUCUAACCUGCCCACUGAAAAUUUUUAAAUGGCCGCAGUAUUUUAACUGUGCAAGAGUAGCAUAAUCAUUAGCCUUUUAAUCGAAGGCUGGAAUGAAUGGUUGGACGAAAUAUUAACUGUUGCAUUUAAAUUUUUUAUUGAAUUUUAUUUUUAAGUCAAAAAGCUAAAAUUAAUUUAAAAGACGAGAACACCCUAUAAAUCUUUAUAUUUUAUUUAUUUUAAUUAUAAAGAUUAAUUUUAUGAUAAUAAAUAAAAAUAUUUUAUUGGGGUGAUAUUAAAAUUUAAAAAACUUUUAAUUUUAAAACAACCAAUUUAUGAAUAAUUGAUCCAUUAAUAAUCAUUAAAAAUUUAAGUUACUUUAGGGAUAACAGCGUAAAUUUUUUGGAGAGUUCAUAUCGAUAAAAAAGAUUGCGACCUCGAUGUUGGAUUAGAAUAUAAUUUUGGGUGUAGCUGUUUCAAAUUUUUAAGUCUGUUCGACUUUUAAAUUUCUU
Molecule: ribosomal RNA, 513 nt
Filed under: Lordiphosa neokurokawai
Lineage: Eukaryota; Metazoa; Arthropoda; Insecta; Diptera; Drosophilidae
Description: partial 16S ribosomal RNA
Source: RNAcentral